ACUUCAGAAGAGAAGACAGUGAGCGUGGGCGAGGCGAGGCAUCCAGAGGCCCCGGCGACCCCUGCUCCCCAGUCCUCCGCCCCCUCGCGUCGCGGCCCUGGGCGGGCGCCGCGAGCCGGGUAAGCGGCGCUUGAGCCCCGGCCCAGAGGCCGAGGCGCGCCCCCGCGCCCUGCGCGCGCGCCGGCGGGGAAGGUGCGCGGGCGCCCUGGGCUCGGCGCUUGGGGGUGGGGGUGGGGGCGGGGAUGGGGGUGGGGGUGGGGGUGGGGGUAGGGGUGGCGGCGGGCCGUGGGGCGGUGGGGCGGUGCGCUUGCCCCACCCCGCGCGGCCCGGCGCUUCGCGGAAGCCGCUGCUGUGGCUUUUUUAAAAGGAUGGGGUCUAGAAGUUUCCUUUGCUACUCGCAAGUCUCCACUCCCCCCAGCCCCGCGGUGGAUAAUCCUAGACCUUUCAGCACCCCCGCCACCCCUUUCUUUUGCUCUCGCUGACUAAGAGGUUGAGUUGCAGGUUGGCUACAUUUUGUAUAUUUGGAAACGUACAAAGUACUCUGAAUUUCAUGAAAUAUUUUGAGGCAAAGUUGGACUGGAAUGUCCCCAAAUAUGGUAGAGCAAAUAGCACAUCUGCCAGAGAAAGAUCCUACACUUUAAAGAGAAGAAGCAGACAACUUCCUGGUGAAUUUAGGACUGCUUGAUGGUGUUGCAAUUUUAUUUGUUGAGUUAAUGAAACCAUUAGAGCCAUUCUUCCCAAUCUGGCCAGCUAAGUUAAAAAUAAAUAAAUAAAUAAAAGGAGACAAA
RNAcentral lists this long non-coding RNA (788 nucleotides) under Homo sapiens (human). RNAcentral describes it as "HSALNT0351161". The record is from RNAcentral. Lineage: Eukaryota; Metazoa; Chordata; Mammalia; Primates; Hominidae.